CAAAAACAUAGCUAGAUGUAAUUAUAUUUAGUGCUUCCUGCUCAAUGAUACAUUUAAUAGCCGCAGUACCUUGACUGUGCAAAGGUAGCAUAAUCAAUUGGCUUAUAAUUGAAGUCUAGAAUGAAGGGAUAUACGGGUAAUUACUGUAUCUAAUAUUCACCACAAAAUUAGUUUUCAAGUGCAAAUACUUGUAAAUAACUGUUAGACGAGAAGACCCUAGAAAUUUGUACUGAUGUUUCGUUGGGGCAACGUAGUAGGAAUAACCUACAGUAAAUAGACGCGAAAAUUUUUCGGAAGAAAAAAUUACUCUAGGGAUAACAGCAUAAUUUAUAAAAGUUUGUGACCUCGAUGUUGGAUUUGGGAACUAUAGUUCAAAAGACUUUUAGUACUGCUCUGUUCGAGCAUUAUACCUAACGUGAUCUGA
RNAcentral lists this ribosomal RNA (424 nucleotides) under Rhagada sp. 'Pilbara Banded'. RNAcentral describes it as "partial 16S ribosomal RNA". It matches the Rfam family "Bacterial large subunit ribosomal RNA", at positions 1808 to 2608 of the family's 2925-position model. The record is from RNAcentral. Lineage: Eukaryota; Metazoa; Mollusca; Gastropoda; Stylommatophora; Camaenidae.